UUUCGUUAUCGGGUUGUUUAUUAAAUAUAUUAUAGAUUGUCGAUCUACAUAUUAUCUACAGCCUGCUGCCUGUAGUACCUAUACUAUCAGUAUGCCUACAACGUCGAUAUCGAUCAUUUCAAAAUUUAAGAUUUAGUAUUGUAAUUUGAAAUCUCAUGUAUGAAGUACCUACCUAUAUGCACCGAUCACUUCAGUGGAUGUAAAGAGCUCGUUUUCUAUGUUAAAUGUUAAGUAUUCUGUCGGACAAUAGAGUCAGUUACACUACUGCAAAUCAAAGGAAAUACACGGCCAAUUUUUCUCCGUCGUAGUAAUUACCUACAUGUAUUUUAUGUGUAAAGUUUUAACUUUAUACAUGAGCUGACGGAACGUUUGUAAAUUGAUAUAGCAGGAUACGACGCAGAAAAAUAUAGGGGUGCCAAAGUACUCGCUCUGUCAUCCUUCAAAUAGCACGCUUGAUAUGGCUGAUAAAAUUAUUAUUAGCUAUAUACAUACUAUGCAUCGCCAUCACCGUUCAUUCAUUAUAGUUAUACCUAUAAUGUAUCACGUGUUUUCCAAAAACUGAGUUGGUCAUCGGCACCUAUACUAUACUGUUUAGGGUCGAAAAAAUAAAUUUCAAAUUUAUACCUAAUGGGUAAGAUUUUGUUGUCAAUAUAGUGUGAAAAAAUAAGUUAUCACUGAAAUAUUUUGUAAAAUUCUAUCCAGUAUCGUUAUAAUUUACAUUCAUUUAUCAUAUGUUACUAUUGUAAUAAAAACAAAAUUAUUUCUUUAGAUAGACGAUUUUUUUUUCGAGGAACAGACACAUUCGUUGAAGAAGUCUCGACGUAUUUUAAUACUUGCAGGUACUGUGAUAAACAUCAUUUUAAUAAUAUUAUUACCUAUAUAUUUAUUGUACAAUGUAUAAACUUGUAUUGCGUCUUAUGAUAUAAAUCGUAUCGAACUGCCGUGCGCACGUCAUAAUAUAAGCGUUUAUUAUACACUGUACUACAAUAUAUGGCAAUCUGGUCACGUACGCAAUACAUCGUGCUAUGAUAUUAUAAAUUACGUCUUAUGAUAUAGGUAGGUACAGAUAGCCAGUGGCUUAAGUAUAAAAAUUCUGAUUCGAAACGAAAAACUUAAAGGGUCCUUCUCCUUCUCGAAAUGAAUUUAUAAAAUACAAAUGGAAGUUAACAUGUUUUAAAUGAGCACCCCAAGUUACGAAUUUCUAUACCAAAAUUUCACAAGAUUAUGUUAUCAUUAUAUUGGUGUAUUUUAAAGGUCAGUUAAAACAGUUUAAAUUUUACUUUAAACCAGCUUUUAAAUUCUCAAAGUUGUCAACAAUUAUUGUGUAACGUCCACGAGU
Molecule: long non-coding RNA, 1339 nt
Organism: Aphis gossypii (cotton aphid)
Lineage: Eukaryota; Metazoa; Arthropoda; Insecta; Hemiptera; Aphididae
Exons: 3
Source: RefSeq, a predicted model, not a curated record